AGCAAACAAGAACACACACCAACCGAGAACUCCUCAAAGGAGAUAUUCCCAAGAGAGGCAAGACAAGUUUCCCAUGUCAGACAAAAAAUUCCAAAGAAAGGUGCUUCUGCUGCUCGUGGAAAUCAAGGAAGAAUUAAGGAGAAUUGGAC
Paramisgurnus dabryanus is the source of this 149-nucleotide non-coding RNA. NCBI's taxonomy places the organism in Eukaryota, Metazoa, Chordata, Actinopteri, Cypriniformes, Cobitidae. The record is from RefSeq and is a predicted model, not a curated record.